GGGGUGUGCUCAGAGCAGGGUGCUGAAUAAUGGCUCCUUUGUUUACAACACACUAAACAGGAACUUGGGUUUAGGCCUCACAAAU
Pteropus vampyrus (large flying fox) is the source of this 85-nucleotide small nucleolar RNA. Ensembl annotates it as small nucleolar RNA, H/ACA box 11G. The record is from Ensembl. Lineage: Eukaryota; Metazoa; Chordata; Mammalia; Chiroptera; Pteropodidae.